This is a long non-coding RNA of Mauremys reevesii (Reeves's turtle), 1661 nucleotides long. RefSeq lists it as uncharacterized. The transcript is spliced from 2 exons. NCBI's taxonomy places the organism in Eukaryota, Metazoa, Chordata, Testudines, Geoemydidae. The record is from RefSeq and is a predicted model, not a curated record.
GUGGAAACCGGCUGAGCAGCUGUAAAAAGCAGUAGGCAUUUUCAGAGAGGCCCCUGUGAGGGGAGGCAGUCAGAGCCAAACCGUGAAGAGUUUUAAGACUUCAGGAAACAUUUGGCUCAUGUGUUCAAGCUUUUCUCUGCAACCAGUAGAGCUAAAAGAUGGUCACCUAAUCAAUUCACUUCAGGAGCUGGGACUUUAAGCAAGAUUACCAGAAGCACUGAUUUGCAAAAGCAAAAAUAGCAACUAUCACAAGAAUAAUGGGAGUUGGCAACAUUGAGCUCUACUUCUCCAGAGCCAUUCCUGCCCCUCUUCUAGGCAUGCCUGGAGCCGUCUGUAUGGGGUAGCUGGUGCAGUUGAAUAAGAAGGCCUUGGCCUGCUGAGACAGGCAGGCUGCUUCCAGCCCCUCUGUCUGUACAUUAUGGGGCUGGCUAUAGGAUGUGAGGACUUCCCUGACUUCAUGAAGGGAUAAGGAGUCUCAAAAGGUGUCAGGAAAUCCUACUCCUGACACUUUCUCACUCACCAUGCUCUCAUUGGAGGAGAGUGGGGUGACUACCGUGGAGGAAACUGAUGUAAUAGGGAACUGAUUAGGUUGAGCAAAAGUAGGAAGGCAUAGGCAUAAGUGAGCCAUAACCCAGUGACAGCAUACCAUACAAGGACGUCUUAACCAACCACCAUAAAGGGAAAUGGAGAUUCCACCUCCCACAGAAAAGUCCCUGAUAGAGAAUUCAGAAGAAAUAUAUAUAUAUAUAUAUAUAUAUAAAGAAAUGGUUGUUGUUUUAUUUAAAUUCCCAGAAACCCUGCCAGGAGGAACUUCUCAUCCCUUCUCCUCAUCCCCAUUUUUGGGGAGCAGGAAGGAAUAACAUAAUUAUUCAUAGAAAGUGGAAAAUAAACAGGAAGAACCUGAAGAGCUAACAGAAAACUACUACAGACCUGAAAUAAAAAUCUCUGCCUCAUACUAAACUGAAUGGUCAGCUGGCAAAUAGAUUGUCCUUUAACUUCCCAACUGAGGACUUUCUAUGCAUCCCUUCCUCCCAGUAUGAGGAUUCUGGAAGCUUUUAACAGUUCCCAGUUUUUUGCCUUUAAGACUGUUCCCAAACCAUGGGCUGCAGACAUAGAAACAAAGAGUGGCAGAAUCUGUCCUGAACACUUACUGUAGUUUUGAAGUAUGCUUGUGUUUUUAAGGCCCUGAUCCUGUGAAGACUUAUGCAUGUACUUAUUUUUAUGUAGUUGGGGUGAAAUCUUGACUCUCAUGGGAAUACUCACAGUGCCUGAUGUUGAGCAUGUGUGUAAAUCUUUGCAGGACUGGGCCUUAAUCUUUAUUGUAUUUACAAAUGACAGUGGGAAUGUCAAAAAAAAGAUGUGCAAUAUUAUUAAUGAGGGAUAAUUUUCUUCUAAUGGCUGCCAGCAGUGGGUGAAGUCCUGGUAUUUACUCUGUGCUACCCCAAUGACAUUUAUGUGUAAUGUAGGCUGUGUGUUGCAUUCACCCUUUCAAACAGAAACUUUGGCACAUGCAAAAAAGUUAAUGAAAGCUUCUAGAAGUGAUUAAAGUGUAACAUCUUUCUUUCACGUUUCCCAGCUGUUGCUAACAUAUCCUUAGUAUGGGCUGAAUUUGGUCAAUGAGUUGUGGGUGUUCUGAUGUAAAUAUAUUAUAUUUCUAUGUA